GAUGAACGCUGGCGGCGUGCCUAAUACAUGCAAGUCGAGCGAACGGACGAGAAGCUUGCUUCUCUGAUGUUAGCGGCGGACGGGUGAGUAACACGUGGAUAACCUACCUAUAAGACUGGGAUAACUUCGGGAAACCGGAGCUCAUACCGGAUAAUAUUUUGAACCGCAUGGUUCAAAAGUGAAAGACGGUCUUGCUGUCACUUAUAGAUGGUUCCGCGCUGCAUUAGCUAGUUGGUAAGGUAACGGCUUACCAAGGCAACGAUGCAUAGCCGACCUGAGAGGGUGAUCGGCCACACUGGAACUGAGACACGGUCCAGACUCCUACGGGAGGCAGCAGUAGGGAAUAUUCCGCAAUGGGCGAAAGCCUGACGGAGCAACGCCGCGUGAGUGAUGAAGGUCUUCGGAUCGUAAAACUCUGUUAUUAGGGAAGAACAUAUGUGUAAGUAACUGUGCACAUCUUGACGGUACCUAAUCAGAAAGCCACGGCUAACUACGUG
Molecule: ribosomal RNA, 497 nt
Filed under: uncultured bacterium
Lineage: Bacteria
Description: partial 16S ribosomal RNA
Rfam family: Bacterial small subunit ribosomal RNA
Source: RNAcentral